AGGCGGUAACCCCACCACCACCCUCAUCUCCGUCACUCUCCCAUGAUGGGUAUCACCCCUCCUCUGCUCCGACAACCGGCGGCUCUCCUCCCCAGGCCGGCGACGCGGAUCUGGUGGUACGGGACGACCACGGAGCGGCCGGCGAGCUCCAGGCGGCGCGGCGGCGAUAGCAGCUCGACGGCGUCGCCCUCCCUAUCCCCCACACCUCCGUCGCCUCUGCCCCCUCACCACCGGGUCACUCCCUCACCACCGGAUCUCGCCACUGGAUCCCGUCGCCGACGGAGAUCUCGCCGUCGGAUCCUGCCACCGACCUUCUUAAGUGGUGGUGGUGGAGGGGGGGAGGGUGGAUUGGGGCUCGUCGCCUCGAGGAGGCCGACGGCGAUGUGGCUUUACGGCGAGGGUCGACCCACCGCCUGUUCUUCAACUGCUUCCGAUGCCCUCCAUAUAUCUCAGUGAGUUGAUUCGCCGAGGAAGAUGGCGAUUCGCCGGAUCCCUUCAUCCUGCCAAUCUUCAUUUUUUUUCCAGUAUACAGUGCUUCCUACAUGAUCAAUAUCUCAAAUCUCAAUGAAGAUAGGCAGAUUGUUAUUCCAGGUUGGUUCUCUGGAUGUGUGGAAGUUUGCAAUUUGCAGAUCAAUGGCUGUAUAUGGUUGAUAUAAAUUUGAAGAUCACUGGCUCUAUAUGGUUGAUAACUUGAUAUGAGGGUAAUUGGGAAAUCUGUGAUAAGCACAUCUCAAGAAGCUAUGUAUAAGUUGUAGCGAAAAAUUCCAUUUGCACAUCAACAAGAAGGCCUUGCUGUAAUUCAAUCCUCUAUUUGCUAUGAGUGGAGGACGAGAAGCAAGGAGUGAUUCCAUUCAAUGUUUGAAAGAUUUGUUUUGUUUUCUGUUUUCAGAUUUCCUGUUAUUAGGUUGAAUCUGAGAUGAAAUAUUGUUUGAAUUCUGUUGUAUUCUGAUUGUAUCUGUUAUUAGUUGAAUCUGAGAUGGUACAUGUAAUUAGGUUUGAAUCUGAAAUGGUAUGAGAAAUUGGAUUGAAUUUGGUGGGCUCAAA
This is a long non-coding RNA of Oryza sativa Japonica Group (Japanese rice), 1044 nucleotides long. RefSeq lists it as uncharacterized. The record is from RefSeq and is a predicted model, not a curated record. Lineage: Eukaryota; Viridiplantae; Streptophyta; Magnoliopsida; Poales; Poaceae.